Homo sapiens (human) is the source of this 2604-nucleotide long non-coding RNA. Lineage: Eukaryota; Metazoa; Chordata; Mammalia; Primates; Hominidae. The record is from Ensembl.
ACAUUCAGGGGAAAUGCAAGAAUAUAUGGAGGACAAGAAGAUGGAAAGAGAGGGCAGUCAGAAAAAUCAGCAAGACAGAGAAAUAACCAAGAGAAAUGAGCAAAGCCCGACUGUUGUUCCUACUUUGGCCAUUGGAGCUCUUUCCAGUUAGCUUCUCUUCCUUGGACAGCUUCCAUACGUUUUUGAGCACUUCCUUAUUUCUGACACCAGAAGAUGACUCAGGCUUGACUUGUAUUCUCCCCGUCCAACAAUGGAAUCUGCCAUUUCUCCAAGGAGCCCUGAUUCCUUUUAUUUGAGCGUGCAUCCUGGGAAUUCAAUAUUUUCUCCAAACUUUCUGAAGAUACUGGUUACAGGUCAAACUCAGCAUUCAACGGAACCAUUUGCGUGAGAAGAAAUAUCAGAAGCAGUCGAGAAACCAGGAAGUGGGUGAGUCCUCUAGAGAUGAAGAGACAUUCUGCUGGAUGACUUUUUAAAAUGUUUUCUUCAAAGUCGUCUGCUUCACUAACAAUGGUUUUUGUCUUAGAAGUCUCCCUUUGAUUUUAUAAACUGACACAUCUGCUUCUUCCAGCUUACAGAACUCUGAAGGUAUAUUUUUUGCAUAUGUAAUGAGGUCAGACAUCAUUUUUUUGUGCACUUGACAAAUGGAAUCCUUCAAAGCCAUGACCUUGUUCAUCAUUAGUGAACAUAGUCUCAGGCCCGAGGCUGUACCAGGAAUAAACCGGAAUAAGUGUCUUUAGUCACUGAGUUCUAAGCAUUGGUAACAGCAUAUAUUGCAUCCUUCAUGCUAAACACCUUUUGAAAACCUUCUGCAUCCAUGCCUUUGUUCACUGCUGUUAGCCUGCUGUUCAAGAAAGUACUUGUAUAUUUACUCUUCAUUGAUAUAAGGAUACCAGGUUGCAUGGCUGAAUUCAUGAAGUCAAAUUUGGGGGAAAUUUCAUGGCAUCAAUAUUAUUUUUAUGAGACUUUCAGCUGGAAGAUGAGAAGAAUAGUUGUGAAAGAAUAGCACAACCUUGCAGUUGUCAUCCAGUUCUGCUUCCCUACAUUGAGCAUGAGCCACUAGUACAAAGCAUUUGUGAAAACAAUCAGUAAAGAUAGCUCUGGGGAUCCAUUCCUUUUUGUUAGCAUAAUAAACUAGUAAGCAAUUUAUUUCUUGAAAACAGUGAGAGUGCAAGCUUUUGCCUAUCAUAACAAGUUUAUGGUUAUGCAUGCCUGCCGCAUUAGCACAUCCCAGUUUUACUGUCCUUGGUAUCCUUAAUUCCUGUAAAGGCUGUCUCAUCAGCUGUAACACCAAAUUAGUGAUGUUUCAUCAGUAUUACAGACUUCUUCUGGCAUCAGAUUUUCAUCAGCAGUGACCCCGGCAAACUCUUCAAGGAAUUUCUCCACUGCUUCAUUAUCAGCAGUGCUUUAUUACCAAAAAUCUUUAAAAAUUUGAUGCUGUGUCUUCACUUAAAUUUCUGCAAUGAAACUGUUGAAUCACAGUUCCAUCCAAUGUAUAGAUCUUUGCUUGUUUCAUCAUCAGCAUACCAUUAAGUGGCAUGUAUUACUGUGAUGCUGAUGGAUCUCCUCUUUCAAUGCACAAUCAGGAUCUUCACUUUCAGCUUUAUGCAGUAUUUUUCUAUUUUUCUGGCAUUGCUUUCAGCAUAGAAUUUCAACAGUCUAUCCUUCUGUUUCUUCAGGUCAAUAUAGGGUGGUCAUUCUAACACCAUACUCUUCCGUAAGAUGUUUCAUACCUACAUUACUUUCCAGUUUCUCCAAUAGGUUGACUUCCUGUGCUAUAGAUAAACAUAAAUGUUCCCUGUUUUUCUUAUCAGUGUUACCUGUAGGGUAUCUGUAAGUGUUUUUAGCUUUUUUUUUUUUUGGAGAUGGAGUCUUGCUCUGUCGCCCAGGCUGGAGUGCAGUGGUGCGAUCUUGGCUCACUGCAAGCUCUGCCUCCUGGGUUCAUGCCAUUCUCCUGCCUCAGCCUCCCGAGUAGCUGGGACUACAGGCGCCCACCACCUCGCCCAGCUAAUUCUUUUUGUAUUUUUAGUAGAGACGGGCUUUCACUGUGUUCGCCAGGAUGGCCUCGAUCUCCUGACCUCGUGAUCCACCUGCAUCGGCCUCCCAAAGUGCUGGGAUUACAGGCAUGAGCCACUGCCCUCGGCCAUUUUUGGUGUUUUCAACAGUGCCUUUACACUGCAGAACGAAUACGCAAAAAACACAAUGAGAAAUGCACAUAGAGCUUAGCGCUACUUGGGGCAUUACAGAGAACCUGCCAUUGACAUGUAUGGUCUGCACGUGUGCCAUUCUAUUACCCUUUGUAGGCGUGCUUGCAUCGGGGAAUCUGGGUGUGUGAAGACAAGAUAUAUUGCAGCUGAAAAAGGCUGGGAGGGUCUUUAUUCACUUAGGGAUGCUGAAUAAACUGUGUUGUGUGCCUGUGUUUUGACUGUGACUCAUCACAUAAGGUCAGGUGUGGAAUUUUCCACUUGUGUGUGGCAUCAUGUUGGUGCUCAAAAAGCUUUAUAUUUUGAAGCUUUUGGGGUUAGAAAUACUCGACCUAUACUAUUUCUUCAUAAUCACUUGUGGGAUGUUUACUUGACAUAGAUUGAGUGGAGGAAGGUUAAUGAG